This 762-nucleotide ribosomal RNA is filed under the name uncultured archaeon. RNAcentral's name for it is "bacterial SSU rRNA". It matches the Rfam family "Archaeal small subunit ribosomal RNA", at positions 113 to 879 of the family's 1478-position model. The record is from RNAcentral.
CCAAUUGGAUGCAUAUCUCGGGAACUGAGAAUAAUGCCCGAUAGAACAUUAUGCCUGGAAUGGUUUAUGUUUCAAAUGAUUUAUCGCCAUAGGAUGGGACUGCGGCCUAUCAGUUUGUUGGUGAGGUAAUGGCCCACCAAGACUAUUACAGGUACGGGCUCUGAGAGGAGUGGCCCGGAGAUGGGUACUGAGACACGGACCCAGGCCCUAUGGGGCGCAGCAGGCGAGAAAACUUUGCAAUGUGCGAAAGCACGACAAGGUUAAUCCGAGUGGUUUCUGCUAAAGAAACCUUUUGUCAGUCCUAGAAACACUGACGAAUAAGGGGUGGGCAAGUUCUGGUGUCAGCCGCCGCGGUAAAACCAGCACCUCAAGUGGUCAGGAUGAUUAUUGGGCCUAAAGCAUCCGUAGCUCGUUUUGUAAGUUUUCGGUUAAAUCCAUGCGCUUAACGUAUGGGCUGCCGGGAAUACUGCAUAACUAGGAAGUGGGAGAGGUAGACGGUACUCGGUAGGAAGGGGUAAAAUCCUUUGAUCUAUUGAUGACCACCUGUGGCGAAGGCGGUCUACCAGAACACGUUCGACGGUGAGGGAUGAAAGCUGGGGGAGCAAACCGGAUUAGAUACCCGGGUAGUCCCAGCUGUAAACUAUGCAAACUCAGUGAUGCAUUGGCUUGUGGCCAAUGCAGUGCUGCAGGGAAGCCGUUAAGUUUGCCGCCUGGGAGGUACGUACGCAAGUAUGAAACUUAAAGGAAUUGGCGGGGGAGCAC